CAGCAGAAAAAGGACCAGAAAACAGAUCCUUAAUCGUUGCUCUUGUCCCAAGCAUGACGGUCCUAGUGUUGGUUUCUGCAUUUGUGGUAAUCUGCUGUGUGAGACGAAACUGCAGUGGAUUACAACACAGAGAAGGUAGCCAGAGAAAUAACCCUGGAAAUCAGGAAGUGCCUGAAAAUACAACUAGAACUGCAAGAAACAACAGCAGAAGUUAUUUUGAAAGACUGAACUCUGUCUAUGAGGAGAUAGGAUGACAAUGAUGGUCACCACUCAGCAAAUAAAGUUUUGUCAUCAUUAAUUUUGUAAUAUUGUACAAAUACCUUUCUUUAAAUUACUUGAUCUUAGAGAUUUUCUAAUGAUGUAAAGCUACAUCCCCCUUCAUUAACGACUGUACAAGCCAAGCUCCCACAUAUGGUAAUAAAGUGGUUUAGAACUGUUAGAAUCCUCCCAGUAAACAUGAUAAACAUUGCAUUCUCUUUUCACCUUAGGUGUGAAUAUGCAUAUAACUGUAAUUUUAGCACCUUUGCACAUUUAAUCUCACUGUAACUGCACUUUGAGACACAAGAAACAAAAUAAAUAAUCACAUAUAGUUUUUUUUAUCUACAUUUAUAUAAUUUUCUGUAAUUUCAUCCAAAUUGUUUAUUUGAGGCAACAUCUAUGUAACCAGUAAACUGAGUAUUAAUGGGCGGGAUUGUAUCGUAUAUAUAAGCGCAAUGGUUUAGAGGGGAGAGGGGAGCUCAGUUUGUCUGCUCGUCAGGGGCGAUGAUUUAUGCGGUUCAAACAUCGUAACUAAUCAUUUAGAGAGCUUACAUGUUCAGGAAGCCAGUGUGUCAGAAAACAAGGGUAACAGUAGUACUAGGGGAGAGAAAAGAGAAUGAAGCUGUGCUCAGAACACAUAUUCAAUUUCAGGUAUGUGGAUAGGAAACAAAUGUCUCCCUGUGUAGGAUGCAUUUCCCAGUGCACACUUUCUGUAGGAAAGACACUUGGGGGAGAGCAGGGUUUUAAUACCACAGGUAAAUAACUAAACACAAACAGAACCCAGUGCAUUUCCCAAAUGCAUUACAAUACAGUACAUUAUAUCAAGUCAGAUAUUUUCUGUAUUGGUAAUGGUAUUCAGAUAUUUUCUGUAUUGGAAAGAG
Polyodon spathula (Mississippi paddlefish) is the source of this 1139-nucleotide long non-coding RNA. RefSeq lists it as uncharacterized. Lineage: Eukaryota; Metazoa; Chordata; Actinopteri; Acipenseriformes; Polyodontidae. The transcript has 3 exons. The record is from RefSeq and is a predicted model, not a curated record.